UACGUAGGGUGCAAGCGUUGUCCGGAAUUAUUGGGCGUAAAGAGCUCGUAGGCGGUUCGUCGCGUCGGCUGUGAAAACCUGAGGCUCAACCUCAGGCCUGCAGUCGAUACGGGCGGACUUGAGUACUGCAGGGGAGACUGGAAUUCCUGGUGUAGCGGUGAAAUGCGCAGAUAUCAGGAGGAACACCGGUGGCGAAGGCGGGUCUCUGGGCAGUAACUGACGCUGGAGGAGCGAAAGCGUGGGGGAGCGAACAGG
This 255-nucleotide ribosomal RNA is filed under the name uncultured bacterium. Its description in RNAcentral is "partial 16S ribosomal RNA". It matches the Rfam family "Bacterial small subunit ribosomal RNA", at positions 524 to 776 of the family's 1533-position model. The record is from RNAcentral.